UGCAUCGAUGAAGAACGCAGCGAAAUGCGAUACGUAGUGUGAAUUGCAGAAUUCCGCGAAUCAUCGAGUCUUUGAACGCAAGUUGCGCCCGAGGCUUGUCCGAGGGCAUUUCCGCUAGAGCGUCACCGCGCCCCCCACCGAUCCGCUCCCGCCGCGAGGCGCGACGCGGGUCGAGUGGAAGUGGCCGUCCCGGCGAAGCGGCCUUCUUUCACGAGGAGGCCGCGCUUGGCUAAGGGUCGGCUGAAAUGGAUGGAAUCGGGCCGCCGUGGUGACACAGUCCGCGAUCGGGUGAUUUCGUCGCGAGCCUCCUCCGUGAGGCUCUCGUUGAAUUUUUCUAAGUGCUUGGCUGCGUCCYCCAGUUGGCUCGGGUUACCUCAUGCAGGUCGAGCGCGCCCCCGCGGCGCGCGUCACGCAUCAGACCUCUAAUCGGAAAA
This 434-nucleotide ribosomal RNA is filed under the name Bryhnia novae-angliae. RNAcentral describes it as "eukaryotic LSU rRNA". Lineage: Eukaryota; Viridiplantae; Streptophyta; Bryopsida; Hypnales; Brachytheciaceae. The record is from RNAcentral.